CCAGAGGCGGAGCAGCGCCGGGAAGCAGCGCUGUGCCAGCCGGGUUUGGUGCCCGCGGGCAGAACCGCGAGCUCUCUCCGCGCUCAUUGUGUGCAUAAUCCUGACGCGAGCUGGGAAGGACUUAUCCCCGCAAAACCGGCGGAUAACUGGAUGAAAGGGUUACAUUAUGCAUCCCAUUCUUCCUAAUUAACUUGAUUUGUUUUGGUGGGGUAAUUAGAGGAGCGUAUUAGGUGUUCUUUAGCAACAGCGCUCGCUCUCCGGGAUUUAUCCCGGGCCAGCAGCGUCCCGUCCCGUGUCCCGGCACACACACGCGUGGUCUCUCAUUAGCUCCACUCUUUUCUCAUGCAAAUGCUUCCCGUUCUGGUUCCUUAGGAGAGGGAUCCUCUUUGUGAAGGAGUACGUGAACACCGGCGGCUUUCCAGCCUCCCCACGCUACGGAAGUGGCAGCCUUGUGGAUCUGACUGAUGUGGACAGAGCCAGCUACAGCCACCACAGUUACCUGUCCAGUGCUCCCCUGCACAGGUCCAGUGACCCCGUGUGCAGCUACUGCAGCCGCGAGAUCCGAGACUGCCCCAAGAUCAUCAUAGAGCACCUGAACAUCCACUGCCACGAGUACUGCUUCAGGUGUGGAAUUUGCCACAAAGCAAUGGGAGAUCUCCUGGAUAAAAUAUUCAUCCACCGGGACAUUGUGCACUGCGACAAAUGCUACGAGAAACUCUUCUAGGUGAGUUUG
This is a long non-coding RNA of Pipra filicauda (Wire-tailed manakin), 733 nucleotides long. RefSeq lists it as uncharacterized. The transcript is spliced from 4 exons. NCBI's taxonomy places the organism in Eukaryota, Metazoa, Chordata, Aves, Passeriformes, Pipridae. The record is from RefSeq and is a predicted model, not a curated record.